GGCCAAUCAGGCCCAUCCACUUGCACGGCCCGCACUAUGCUUCUUCUUCUCUAUCAAGAAAUGGUACAGCGUUAAAGCCACCAGAUCCCACGGCGCAGAACUACCCAAACCCCAACCAAAAUCCACCCCCAAACUAGGUCAUCCAUGUCUGGCGGCGGGCAAGCAGCGGUCUCGUUCCUGACGAAGGUCGCAAAGGUGGCUGCCGGGUUGGGCUUGACGGCAUCUGCCGUCUCCACGUCCCUCUACACGGUGGACGGCGGCCAACGGGCGGUCAUCUUCGACCGCUUCCAGGGCGUUCUCCCGGCGGUCGUCUCGGAGGGCACCCACUUCCUCGUCCCCUGGCUCCAGAAGCCCUUCCUCUUCGACAUCCGCACGCGCCCGCACAGCUUCUCCUCCACCUCCGGAACCAAGGAUCUGCAGAUGGUCAGCCUCACGCUCCGCGUCCUCGCCCGCCCCGAUGUGGAACGCCUUCCUGAAAUCUUCACCAACCUCGGCCUCGACUACGACGACAAGGUGCUCCCCUCCAUCGGCAACGAGGUGCUCAAGGCGGUCGUCGCCCAGUUCAACGCAGACCAGCUCCUCACCGACCGUCCCCACGUCUCUGCCCUCGUCCGUGAAGCCCUCGUCCGCCGCGCCGGCGAGUUCAACAUCGUGCUCGAUGACGUCGCCAUCACCCACCUCGCCUACGGGCACGACUUCGCCCAGGCCGUUGAGAAGAAGCAGGUCGCGCAGCAGGAGGCUGAGCGCUCCAGGUUCCUCGUUGCGCGUGCAGAGCAGGAGAGGCGUGCUGCUAUCGUUCGCGCGGAGGGAGAGAGCGAGUCCGCACGGCUCAUCUCAGAUGCCACCGCUCUUGUAGGCAAUGGCCUGAUCGAGCUCAGGAGGAUCGAGGCUGCCAAGGAGAUAGCUGGGGUGAUUGCGCGCUCACCCAAUGUUUCCUACAUCCCUUCUGGCAACAACGGCCAGAUGCUGCUUGGGCUCAGCACUGCCCGGUGAAUGAAUUGCCACUUAUCUUCCAGUUGGUCACAGUACUUUAGUCACUUGAGAUGCCCAAUUAUCCUUCACUUGAUUACAAUACUUGAAUAACUUCAGAUGCUUCGACAUAGUAGUAUUUUACGAUUUUAUCGUAGAAUGGAGACUUCUAUUAUGGAGGAGUCAUUGAACAAAUGUUGUAUUUUGGUUGCCAACCUAUGCUAUAUUAGGGUCCCUAUAUUAGUGCUUAUGAUGCGUUCUUUUUAUUAUUGCAGGGAUAUGGUCCUCUAUGGUUAUUGCUCAGAAGCAACUUGGUUUUUGAAUUAUUGGUUUCAUUUGUUGUUUUUUCUGAUUAAAGUUCUACGAUUGUUUUGUUGAUCAUAUUUGUUAUUGCAUAGUUUGGUCUGGGUAGCCGUGCAACGCGCAGCAAAAUAUUGCACUCUGUUUUGUAAAUAGGGUGAGCAUGCAUGAGCUGCAUUUGUCAACACUACAUCUGCUUGUAGUUAAUCUUUUGUUGAUUUUUUUGGUUUUACUACUAGUGAAGUAUACUAACUAGCUAUUUGACCGUGGGUUGCAACGGAAACAUAAAUAUUAGUUAUCCGACGUAUACUUUACCCUCACCGUAUUCUAGAUUUUGAUAGCAUGUUAUUUAGUUGAGGUUUUGAUAAGAUUUUGAUCCGAUUUGGGUAUGGACAGGGGAAAACAAAAAGUUAUGAUUGAGUCAAGAUUUCGGUAACAGCUGAUUUUAAUUGUUUUGAUUGAGUUAAUGCAUGACAUGGUUUUUGAGAAGUAUCGAUUUUGUUUUAAUUAUUUUAAGUUACUCUAUUUAUGUUGGUUUUUAUUUUGUGCGGUAUUUGUUGAGAUCAUCAAAACAAACCCAAAAGAAAAUCAAAGUGGAGGGGGAGGCGUGAGGGAGGAAACAACCGGGAAGGAGAUGAAGAGGACACUACCAACUCCCUUUUAAUGGUAGAGAUUAUGUACAACAAAGGGUAGCUUGGCCAGGAGUUCUUUUAUUUGAGUCUUUGUUAGUUCCAUUAUGUCCUUGUGCUCCAAUUUUGUAAAAAUAAAAGAGGUAUGAUGGCAAUAUUGGUACUUUCGCAUCACCUAUCCCUGGCCCUCUAUUUGGGCUUUUCCUUUCCAUGCCCCCUAGAGUUUGUAGUUUUUUUAGUCUCAACCACAAAAACCAAGUUACAUACUAGUAACUUGUAACCCUUCUGUUCUUUAGUAUAUUAAAUUAUCAUUAAUUUAGUAUAACUUUGUUCCGUGAGGGAGACCCCGUGUCAUCAUAUUUGUUCUCUGUGUGGAAGGAUUUACAUCUCUUUUGAAUCUGUAUGGGGGUGCACCAUAAGCGAUCAAUUGCAGUCUUUGACCUCGGCAAAUGUGGCACUGAGAUUUUUAAUCUAUGUAGUUGCGUUCUCUCUGUCUUCUGAAACCGACGAGUAGUCUAUUAAAGUAUUAAUAGGAGCCGACACAUAUAACCUGCUAAUCUUCUCCGGUGAUUCUAUUAUUCUUUCCAUUAAUUCACUUGUUUACUGUUUGCAUCUCUCCCACUCCCCAAAUCAUCCCUUGCCUUCUACAAAUCUGCACAUACAAAUUCACCUAUUUGUUGCCCUAAUGGUUGUCGCUGCAUCCGACCUCGCAGAGCCCCCGCCAUCGCUGGACUGAGCUGCGGCGACCCUGCAACUGAUGGAUUCGGUGACGAGGGGGCUGCGCCAGCACCAUCUGCAACCUUCAGCGCCCUCCUCCCGUACCAUAUUAUGCCACCAAUGGAUUCCAUGGCGAGGAGCUGUGCCAGCACCACGCGCAACCUAGCUCCCCCGCCUUUAGAUGCCUCAAUCGCAAUGAUCGGAUUAGAUAGUGAGGAGCUACAAUGCCCUACCACGGUUGGAUUCGAUGGCGAGGUUCUGCGCAACCCCUUUUGCAACCGGCUCCGCUGCCCUUGCUCUUCCAAAUUUUGCCUAGAUGGAGCCCAAUGAAAAGGUGAAGAAAAGAUGAGAAUUUUUUGUGCCGCAUUACUGAUUUCAUCCAAAAAUUGUUGAGAGUUGAUGAAUUGUGAACAUCUGGCAUUUGAUAAGGUGAGAGGUUCUAUAAAAAUAAAAUCGAACAGGUUGUGUUAAAAUUUUCUGCCAUGAGACUUUGGACAUUGCCAUGGUGAUUGUAGUCUAUUAGAAACAAACAAGUAAUUGUGCUUGCUUAAUGCUUAGUUCAUUACAACGAUGACCUGCACAACGUGUAGUACUUUUGACUUUGGUAUCCCUUCAUUGUUGUUUCAGUGGAUGUUAGAAGGAAAUAACAGCAAUAGCAAAACAAAUGCCUAGGAUAAUAUAGCUGAAGGACCAAGAAUCCAACAUAGUACACAUGUAUACAUUCUAUGCUUGAUGUUUUUAUGGCAAAAAUACAAGGUCUGAUUAAUUUUUCUAUACAUCAUGAAUCAGAUUCAGUAUGAUAUGCACAAUUAUAGUUCAUUAAGGUACAAAGGAAAUUAUGGUUGUUCAGUAAACUUAUUUACUUUCAUGAAGGCCUAUAGAAAUUUACUAGCUUUUUUAUCCAUGUUGUGAGUAGCCUUGAAUUUGUCGUCCAAGCUUUAUUCAAUCACAUGAAUCAGAAUGUAUUCUUCUACUGUAGUUGAUACAAUAUAUCAUAUUUAUUUUAAGUUUCUUUCUCACAACAUAUGCACGAGGGCCUUAGUAUCUUACCAUGAGUUCUGCACCUUGAUGUAGAAAUCCAUGAAGGGUGAUUCAUGCACAUCUGAACAACUAUGUGCUCCAUAAAUCAGCUAAUCAUCUAUAUUCUGAAGAUGCAUCUGUAUUUUCCUUCCAGUUUUCCACCGUGGAUGGUUAAACAUUGAGAUAUUAAUAUCGUGAGAUAUAAUAUAAUUAUGUAAGGUUUGUACAUGGUUAAUUUUCAAAAUUCUAAUUCUUUUUAAUUAGCUUCAACAUGCAUGUACAUACUAUUCUGAACUCUUACUGGCUUCUGUUAUUAGAGAAUGAAUGUAACAUAUUUUGGUAAGCAUGUUUCCCAUUCUCUAAAAUUUCAUAAAGUACAUCUUAGUUUGACUCUUUACAGAGAGACAUAUAUGUUGUUUCAGAAGGGAGAGAGGUUUAGAUGUUCCCUCUUCAACAUGUUAGUUGCACGUUGUAUAGGGUCAUAGAGUAUUAAUAUCCAUAUUCACUUCAUGUUGUAUUUGUUUUACAUCAUUUAGAUUAUGUUGUAAUCUUAAAGUGCACAUAAUUUAUCACUUCAUAUUUAUUUGUUUUGUACCGUGCAGAUUAUGUAUGUGUCCUUCUCAAGUCAUUUUAUGUGCUAAUUCCACUACACAGUCCGGCAGAGAUCAUUCUCAAACAUAGACACAUUGCGACGUUGGCGCAGUGUAAAGUCUGCCUAGACGCGGAUGAGGAUACGGUUCAUGCAUUGAUCAAAUGCACACAUGCAAAAAUAUUUUGGAGGGAGGCUAAGGAAUGGCUACAUAUUAAGCUUCCGGAGCUCUUACAGAUACAUGGUCAAGAGAUAUUCUAUGUGACCCAAGGUUUGAUGACACAGAUCAUGCAAAAAAUAUUAUGGUCAUGUGGGUUAUCUGGAUAUCCAGGAACAAUACUACCCAUGACAAGGAAAAUUUGGACCCGAUGCAGUCAAUGAAAAUGAAGGAUGCCCUAUCGCUACUGGAGUUACCGGGGGAGCAUGCUAAAAUAUUGCCAGGUCACAUUACGUGACUUUAGUUCGUUAUUAUUUUUGCUUUGCAUAAUCAUAUAGAGUUGACAUGACAUUUGUGGCAAUGCCACCAUUCAUCAUUAUGCACAUGUUACGCUAGAUCAUUGCAUACCCUGGUACAUGCCAGAGGCAUUCCAUUUGUAGUCAUCAAUUUUUUAAGUUAUGAAUAAAUAAAAGUGUGAGGUCAUUUAUAGUGUGCCUCUACCUGUGUGGAAUAAAAAAAGAGAGGCCAAAAAGAGCCCAAGAAAAAGGGGCCAAAAAG
This 4939-nucleotide ribosomal RNA is filed under the name Triticum aestivum (bread wheat). RNAcentral describes it as "partial small subunit ribosomal RNA". Lineage: Eukaryota; Viridiplantae; Streptophyta; Magnoliopsida; Poales; Poaceae. The record is from RNAcentral.